Molecule: long non-coding RNA, 427 nt
Filed under: Homo sapiens (human)
Lineage: Eukaryota; Metazoa; Chordata; Mammalia; Primates; Hominidae
Description: non-protein coding lnc-SNX10-1:1
Source: RNAcentral
UGGAAAGUGAGGAGCAUCUCUGCCCGGCCGCCAUCCCAUCUAGGAAGUGAGGAGCGCCUCUUCCCGGCCGCCAUCACAUCUAGGAAGUGAGGAGCGUCUCUGCCCGGCCGCCCAUCUUCUGAGAUGUGGGGAGCGCCUCUGCCCCGCCGCCCCGUCUGGGAUGUGAGGAGCACCUCUGCCCGGCUGCGACCCCGUCUGGGAGGGGAAGAGCGUCUCUACCCGGCCGCCCCAUCUGAGAAGUGAGGAGACCCUCUGACUGGCAACUGACCCGUCUGAGAAGUGAGGAGCCCCUCCGCCCACAGCCGCCCCGUCUGAGAAUGGUCCUCCCGGGCACUGUGCUUCAGCCACAGGGCCUCUGAACAUGUGAUUCCAAAUGCCAGAAACAUCAGAUGUCACGCCAAAUCUCUUUUCUCAGUGAAACCUUCCC